UCCCCGGUUGGUCUGUCGGCAGGGCCCGCCUGACUUUGAAUCAGGACAAGCGACGCAGGUUCGACUCCUGCCCGGGGAGCCA
RNAcentral lists this transfer RNA (82 nucleotides) under Raineyella sp. RNAcentral describes it as "tRNA-Gln". It matches the Rfam family "tRNA". Rfam says of the family: Transfer RNA (tRNA) molecules are approximately 80 nucleotides in length. Their secondary structure includes four short double-helical elements and three loops (D, anti-codon, and T loops). Further hydrogen bonds mediate the characteristic L-shaped molecular structure. tRNAs have two regions of fundamental functional importance: the anti-codon, which is responsible for specific mRNA codon recognition, and the 3' end, to which the tRNAs corresponding amino acid is attached (by aminoacyl-tRNA synthetases). tRNAs cope with the degeneracy of the genetic code in two manners: having more than one tRNA (with a specific anti-codon) for a particular amino acid; and 'wobble' base-pairing, i.e. permitting non-standard base-pairing at the 3rd anti-codon position. The record is from RNAcentral. Lineage: Bacteria; Bacillati; Actinomycetota; Actinomycetes; Propionibacteriales; Propionibacteriaceae. RNAcentral also lists the same sequence under 3 other names.